This 467-nucleotide ribosomal RNA is filed under the name uncultured bacterium. RNAcentral describes it as "partial 16S ribosomal RNA". It matches the Rfam family "Bacterial small subunit ribosomal RNA", at positions 28 to 507 of the family's 1533-position model. The record is from RNAcentral.
GACGAACGCUGGCGGCGUGCUUAACACAUGCAAGUCGAACGGAAAGGCGCGAGCUUUCUGGAUUGCUCGAGUGGCGAACGGGUGAGUAACACGUGGGGAAUCUGUCCUGCACUCUGGGAUAAGCCUUGGAAACUGGGUCUAAUAUCGGAUAGGAUCUUUCUCCUCAUGGGGUUUGGUGGAGAGUUUUUCGGUGUAGGAUGAGUCCGCGGCUUAUCGGCUUGUUGGUGGGGUAUUGGCCUACCAAGGCGACGACGGGUAGCCGGCCUGAGAGGGUGAUCGGGCACAUUAGUCCUACGGUACGCACCAGACGCGUACGGGCGGCAGCAGUCGGGAAUAUUGCACAAUGGGCGAACGCCUGAUGCAGCGACGCCGCGUGAGGGAUGCCGGCCUUCGGGUUGUAAACAUCUUUCAGUAGAGACGAGGCGGAAGUGACGGUACCUACACAAAAAGCACCGGCUAACUACGUG